GACGAACGCUGGCGGCGUGCUUAACACAUGCAAGUCGAACGGACAGACCCUGCUUUUGCUCGUUGCUCGUUUGGCGAACGGGUGUGUAACACGCGAGUAUCCCCCCCUUGUCUUUCUGAUAACUCCAGGAAACUCGGGCUCAUACCGCAUAUGAUCUCCUGCUCCACGGUGUUGGUUGGAAAGUUUCGGCUGUUUGGGACGGACUCGCGGCUUAUCGGCUUGUUUGUCGGGUAGUGGCUUACCAAGGCUGCGACGGGUAGCCGGCCUGAGAGGGGUACCGGCCACAAUGGGACUAAGGUACGGACCAGACUGCUACGGGAGGCAGCAGUGGGGAAUAUUGCAGAAUGGGCGGAAGCCUGAUGCAGCAGCGCCGGGUGCGGGAUGACGGCCUUCGGGUGGUAAACAGCUUUCGCCGGUGACGAAGCGGGAGUGACGGUAAUGGGUAAAGAAGCACCGGCUAACUACGUG
This 468-nucleotide ribosomal RNA is filed under the name uncultured bacterium. RNAcentral's name for it is "partial 16S ribosomal RNA". It matches the Rfam family "Bacterial small subunit ribosomal RNA", at positions 28 to 507 of the family's 1533-position model. The record is from RNAcentral.